UACGUAGGGGGCAAGCGUUGUCCGGAUUUAUUGGGCGUAAAGAGCGUGUAGGCGGCCGCACAGGUCCGUUGUGAAAACUGGAGGCUCAACCUUCAGACGUCGAUGGAAACCGUGCGGCUAGAGUCCGGAAGAGGAGAGUGGAAUUCCUGGUGUAGCGGUGAAAUGCGCAGAUAUCAGGAAGAACACCCGUGGCGAAGGCGGCUCUCUGGGACGGUACUGACGCUGAGAAGCGAAAGCAUGGGGAGCGAACAGG
Molecule: ribosomal RNA, 253 nt
Filed under: uncultured bacterium
Lineage: Bacteria
Description: partial 16S ribosomal RNA
Rfam family: Bacterial small subunit ribosomal RNA
Source: RNAcentral